CAAGGUUAAGGACACACCUGAGAAAAGAACAGAGAACCACAGGAAAAACUGUGGUCCGUGCUUUUCCCAAAGAUUGUCUGGGGACCUCAAGUUUGGCCUUUUCUUCAGCACUGGGAAUUGUGAUCCAAAGCUUUUCCUGAUGAGGCACAAAGUUGGAGAAACAAAACGCAAACUAAGCAACAAUGAAACAGAACAGAGUGAAUCUGCUGUAGCUCAAGAGAGGACGUAGCUGCCCCCACCCCGCAUCCCUGGGCUCGGGUUUGCCUUGCUGACCUCUGCUGCCACCUGGU
This 290-nucleotide long non-coding RNA is filed under the name Homo sapiens (human). RNAcentral's name for it is "HSALNT0000052". Lineage: Eukaryota; Metazoa; Chordata; Mammalia; Primates; Hominidae. The record is from RNAcentral.